UCCGUUAUGGUGUAAUGGUUAACAUUAUCGCCUCUCAUACUUCGGUGUUAAAAACACCUGCGCAAUAGCUCAGGGUUCGAUUCCCUGUAACGGAA
Marasmius fiardii PR-910 is the source of this 95-nucleotide non-coding RNA. Lineage: Eukaryota; Fungi; Basidiomycota; Agaricomycetes; Agaricales; Marasmiaceae. The record is from the annotation of a GenBank genome assembly.